AUUGAGCGCUGGCGGCAUGCUUUACACAUGCAAGUCGAACGGUAACAGGCCUUCGGGUGCUGACGAGUGGCGAACGGGUGAGUAAUGCAUCGGAACGUGCCCAAUCGUGGGGGAUAACGUAGCGAAAGUUACGCUAAUACCGCAUAAGCCCUGAGGGGGAAAGUGGGGACCGCAAGGCCUCACGCGAAUGGAGCGGCCGAUGUCAGAUUAGCUAGUUGGUGGGGUAAAGGCCCGACCAAGGCGACGAUCUGUAGCGGGUCUGAGAGGAUGAUCCGCCACACUGGGACUGAGACACGGCCCAGACUCCUACGGGAGGCAGCAGUGGGGAAUUUUGGACAAUGGGCGCAAGCCUGAUCCAGCCAUGCCGCGUGCGGGACGAAGGCCUUCGGGUUGUAAACC
Molecule: ribosomal RNA, 399 nt
Filed under: uncultured bacterium
Lineage: Bacteria
Description: bacterial SSU rRNA
Rfam family: Bacterial small subunit ribosomal RNA
Source: RNAcentral